RNAcentral lists this ribosomal RNA (497 nucleotides) under uncultured bacterium. RNAcentral's name for it is "partial 16S ribosomal RNA". It matches the Rfam family "Bacterial small subunit ribosomal RNA", at positions 28 to 507 of the family's 1533-position model. The record is from RNAcentral.
GAUGAACGCUGGCGGCGUGCCUAAUACAUGCAAGUCGAGCGAACAGACGAGGAGCUUGCUCCUCUGACGUUAGCGGCGGACGGGUGAGUAACACGUGGAUAACCUACCUAUAAGACUGGGAUAACUUCGGGAAACCGGAGCUAAUACCGGAUAAUAUAUUGAACCGCAUGGUUCAAUAGUGAAAGACGGUUUUGCUGUCACUUAUAGAUGGAUCCGCGCCGCAUUAGCUAGUUGGUAAGGUAACGGCUUACCAAGGCAACGAUGCGUAGCCGACCUGAGAGGGUGAUCGGCCACACUGGAACUGAGACGCGGUCCAGACUCCUACGGGAGGCAGCAGUAGGGAAUCUUCCGCAAUGGGCGAAAGCCUGACGGAGCAACGCCGCGUGAGUGAUGAAGGUCUUCGGAUCGUAAAACUCUGUUAUUAGGGAAGAACAAAUGUGUAAGUAACUGUGCACGUCUUGACGGUACCUAAUCAGAAAGCCACGGCUAACUACGUG